This is a non-coding RNA of Doryrhamphus excisus (bluestripe pipefish), 6136 nucleotides long. NCBI's taxonomy places the organism in Eukaryota, Metazoa, Chordata, Actinopteri, Syngnathiformes, Syngnathidae. The record is from RefSeq and is a predicted model, not a curated record.
GUCACAGGUAACGGAUGAUGCCAGUCGACUGGAGGUGGCGCCUCCGUCAGGAUGGCCAAAAAGCAUCAGUCGGGACUGCCAAUAAGCCGCGGCGCAGACAAAUGAAGGCAAUAAAGCGGCAAUGGGAUUAGAUGGAAGAAAAGAAGAUUUUGGGGACAUUUGUCUGCUCCCAUCAAGCAUGUGACUGAUGCAGACGGUGUCGGCGGCGCGGAAGAGUUCUGCAGCCUGCUUUCCAAUAACACUCGGGCUGGAGUGAAGUCUUUUUAAGACGAGAAGUAAUCGAGAAGUGGACACCGAGGCCAGGCCGCUAUCGUCUCCACUGGGCCGCGAGAGACGCUGCGGGUCACCUUCAGGGCCAAGACGAGACAGGACGGGAUGUGAAGACCAGGUCCCAAACCGCAGACGGGCGUGUUACAAGCUUCAGGCUGCUACCUCAUUUCCCCACGUCGACAACUUUCAUCCCCUGUGACAAAUAUUCAGCAUCAAGAGGAAGGAAGGAGGAAGAUUUCGGAAGUUUCCUGCAUAUUUGAUGAGCGCUCCACCAAGCGCCCCCCUCUCUCUCUCUCAACUCGGCUCGCCAAGACGGUCCGGCUGCGGAUGCUGGAAAAGUUCCGACACGAGGCCAGCUGGCCCGGCGGAACAGAUGUGUACAGGACUUUGAUGUAGGUGAGGGUGAAGAGGAGAAGGAAUUGCAAACAAGUGAUGUUUGAAGUGAGGAGGAGAAGAAGAAGAAGAAGAGCGGAGGUGACGGAGGAUGAGGGCAACCUGCGGGGGAAUGUCACGUCACAUCAAGACCAAACUGACACCGGAUCAGGAGACCAAGGGACAAGUGUGUCAGGUGAUCUGCGGAGCGACAGCACCAAGAUGGCACGUUUCUCCAAAGAAAGCACCAAGAUCUCCUAUGAACCUCAUUCUUCUUGGAUGGUGUCCAGCUCCACGAUGGCUGACGUAGUUGGCGUCAAAGGCCGAAUAGACCCGUAGUCGUGGAUUCUUAACCUGAGCGAGGAUCACCUCACAGGAAGUCACCAUGGGAGGUGGAAAGCAGGAGAAUCCCAGGGAACACGAAAACGGCAACCCCCGCUCCAUGCAUGUGGAGAUAAAUGACGAGGAGCCAGAUGUCCUCAAAGUGAUGAUCAGCCACAUCUGAGCAUGCGACGCCCCCGACCUGGACAAGAUGGCCGACGACCCGCUGGCAGCAGCUGAUGAGAUCUCAGCCUGAAGGUUGUCGGUUCGAUCCCCCAUUCUCCUGUGAUCGUGUCGAAGUAUCCUUGGGCAAGAUACUGACCCCCCAGUUGCUCCUGAUGCUGCGUCAUGCGCAGGUAAAUGUGCUAACAGCGUUAAUUGUUAGCAGUGUUAAGAUUGUUAAUUUUGCUAAGCUGCUUAGCUAGCACUUUCCAUUUCAUAGGAGCACAUUCACCAAGUAGAAGUAGAAACGUUGGAAGUCAAAACGGCGUGACACAAAAUGUUGUAAGAUGAAGCACUAUGACACAAAUGAUCAGCAUCCACAAAAUAUCUCGUAACACGAGAUGUUGGAAUGCAAAACGCGGUGACAUUAGACAUCGGAAUAUGAAACGUAAUGCAAACUAUUGUAACCUGAAAUGUUACAACAUGAAAUAGUGUUGCAACCCAAAAUGAAUGCAAUUCGAAGCAUGCCUACGAAUUAUCGGAACCACAAAUUGUUGUAACUUGAAGCGUCCCCACGAAUUAUCGUAACCAGAAAUAGUUGUAACUCGAAAUGUUGUAACUUGAAGCAUAACCAGAAUUAUCGUAACCACAAAUUGUUGUAACUUGAAGCGUCCCCAUGAAUUAUCGUAACCAGAAAUAGUUGUAACUCGAAAUGUUGUCACUUGAAGCAUGCCCAGAAUUAUCGUCACCACAAAUUGUUGUAACUUGAAAUGUUGUAACUUGAAGCUUGGCCAGAAUUAUCGUAACCACAAAUUGUUGUAAUUUCAAGCAUGCCCAGAAUGAUCGUAACCACAAAUGGUUGUAACUUGAAGCAUGCCCAGAAUUAUCGUAACCACAAAUUGUUGUAACUUGAAGCAUGCCCACGAAUUAUCGUAACCACAAAUUGUUGUAACCUGAAGCAUGUCCAGAAUUAUCGUAACCAGAAAUAGUUGUAACUCGAACUGUUGUAACUUGAAGCAUGCCCAGAAUUAUCGUAACCACAAAUUGUUGUAACUGGAAAUGUUUUAACUUGAAGCAUAACCAGAAUUAUCGUAACCACAAAUUGUUGUAACUUGAAAUGUUGUAACUUGAAGCUUGGCCAGAAUUAUCGUAACCACAAAUUGUUGUAAUUUCAAGCAUGCCCAGAAUGAUCGUAACCACAAAUGGUUGUAACUUGAAGCAUGCCCAGAAUUAUCGUAACCACAAAUUGUUGUAACACGAAAAGCUGUAACUUGAAGCAUGGCCAGACUUAUCAUAACCACAAAUUGUUGUAACUUGAAGCAUGCCCAGAAUUAUCGUCACCACAAAAAAUUUUGUAACUUGAAAUGUUGUAACUUGAAGCAUGCCCAGAAUUAUCGUAACCACAAAUUGUUGUAACUUGAAGCAUGCCCAGAAUUAUCGUAACCACAAAUUGUUGUAACACGAAAAGCUGUAACUUGAAGCAUGGCCAGACUUAUCAUAACCACAAAUUGUUGUAACUUGAAGCAUGCCCAGAAUUAUUGUAACCACAAAUUGUUGUAACUUGAAGCAUGCCCAGAAUUAUCGUAACCACAAAUUGUUGUAACUUGAAGCAUGCCCAGAAUUAUCAUAACCACAAAUUGUUGUAACUGGAAGUGUUGUAACUUGAAGCAUGCCCAGAAUGAUCGUAACCACAAAUUGAUGUAACUUGAAGCAUGCCCAGAAUUAUCAUAACCACAAAUUGUUGUAACUGGAAGUGUUGUAACUUGAAACAAAGGUAACACAAAUAUGUUGUCACAUGUUAACAUGCAGAUGUCAUGUAUUUGGUGAAACCGUGCAGGCCCCCCCAUGCACCCCCACCUUCACCCCUGACGUGCCCCUCAUUGAGCCGCCGUCCGUUUUGAAUGGCGUCACACGGACACGUUUUGAUGGCGCCUCUCUUUCCCUAAUUCCCUUUCACUGCUGCCUGGUCUUCGUCCUCGCCGCACACAAUGUGGACUUCAUCCAUUGGGCGAAGACGUGGCGGGUCAACGCCGAGACGUCCCUGUGCUGCGCCUCCUGUCAAUGUGCCACCACUGAGGAGGAGGAGGAGGAUGAAGAGCUGGCGGGACUACUCUUCCGUGCAGAUCAACUCAAGAUCUCUGGAUUUUUCCUUUUUUAGACACCAUGAAAUAAUAUUCCCAUUGUCAUUUUAUGUCUGUGUUUUUAUGUUUUUUAUGUUUAUGUUUUUUAUGUUUAUGUUUAUGUUCCAAAGAAGGUUUAACACAGCAGGCUUCCAAUGAGGCCCGUUGUACAAAACUAGCAUCAGUGGAAAAGUGGGACAUGAGAUGACAUGAGUUACCAUGGAGAUUUAUUCUGUGACUUAGCCUGCUCCACAUCAGGCUACGGUCCAGGAUCUCCUUAAUAUCAUCCCUCAUCCCAGUCAUAAAUGGACGCCAAUAAUUAUCCCACUGUUCCCAAUGUUAUCGCAUUCAGCUGCACCCACUGGCGUCAUUUCAACAUUGUCAUCAUUCAUUUCAAUCAUUGUAUAUAAGUCAUCAGUAGAGCAUUUAUGGGGUCAUUUACACAUCCCAAAUAAAUACAGUCUAAUGGAGUUAUAUUUACACAAUUUCACCUACAAAAUAAAAGGAUCCAUAAUCAAUUACAGUGCGACCCCUGUUGGUUAAUGUUAAUGUGUACUACAUUACCCAGAAGCCUUCGGGCUCGAGGGGAACCGGAAACUACGUUCUCUGGAUGCUACUAGCUAGUAAUUGUGGUAUGCUAAUAAAGCCAACACACAUAACAUUAAUUAACUAUUUAGAUUUUAAUAAUGGCGGUUCCAGCGUAACAGUAAGUGUUUCUUUGUUCACUACUUCCGACCAAAGUAUCGCAAACCAUAAAUACUUCGUCAUUGUUUCGGUUUUUGUUAUGGCUGUCCGGUAUUUGCCGCUUUUUUAUAGGCUCUUCUAAACCUGCUGUGAGGAUUUCCGCUGUUGCGUCAUGGAUGGGCGGGGUCUAUUUAAAGAAGCCGCGUAUUUACGCUAAUUAGGGAAUUGGUUUCACCUGGUUUGAGUAAUUAGCGUCUGCUCAUCUUGUGUCGGCCAUUGUGGAAACCAGUUAAGCCGAGACGCUACUGCUUUGGGCUGCUUGAGCCCUCCCCCCCUUUUGGCCCAGUGGUUUGUCCUGGAUGUCUGAAUCCUACCUGUAGUGUUCAGCCGGCUCCAUGCAGGUGGAAACGCCCGGUAGUCCCAACACCUUCGAUACCUGAUGCCCCGCAAUGAGCAGGAAGGACCACAGCAAAUGAAAAUGAGAACUAUGAGAGGACAAAGUUGGCAAUGAAGUGAGGGGUGCUCGGGCCUUGGGGCUGGAGGAAUGGCGCGGAAACGGAUGGAUGGCGCUAUGAAGAGUGAUCGGGGUGUCACGGAGGCGCGUCGGGGGCCCCCACGACAGAUAGCGAAUGAAGGAGCGACGACGGGGAGAGAUCGCUCUCGUUUGGACUCCAUUUGUCACGACCGACUGAGAAAACCUGAUGCGGCCCAGCCUCGCCCAGACCCUAGCUCCAGUGGCCCCCAGUUUCUCCACAAAGCUGGAAGAACCUGACAAGAUGAUGACUGAAGAUUCGGGGCCAACGAAGAACUCCAUCGAUCCAAAGAGGAGGCUUAUUCACGUCUUUGCCUAAUCUCGUGGAUCAUCUGGUCUUGUGACCUAGCAACGACAGUCACGGAUUUGAACCAUCACUACGUGUCCUGCUGUGCUUCCCUCCGACGCUUGCCAAUCAACCGUGGUCCCUGUGGACGCGUGGACGCCAUUGUUGUCCCUGAGCCCGCUGGGCCCUGACCCCCAGGCCGCCGUACUAAUGGACUGACUAAGAGUAAUUUAGUCAGGCACCUUGAAGGACAGCCGUGGGUCCUAAUUGGAAUCCUUUGACCAGGAAGUUGGUUCGGUGCUUCGACUACUGAUGUCUUGAUGACAAUGUGUUGGACGUGACAAUACAGCGGAGGUGUUGGAACUUGUUCCACGGAUGGUCCCAUACAGAGAAAUCAGGCGGAUGUGAGAAGAAGACGUUGCAGGAGGGCUCAGUCGUGCCAGUUGAGCGAUCAUCAGACUCCUGCAGAUGGUCUUUUUUUUUUUUUUUUUAAAGCCACCAACAACAAAUCUAGCAACUUUUCCUGGUGUCAUUGGAUGACGAGCAGAGGUUCCUGCUGUGCCCCCCGACCCCCACCCCACCCCAUCAUCCAAAAGCACUUCCAGGGAGCUCCGUCUUGCUUGUGACAUUAAAAAAAAUCCCAAAAAGAAGCGACAGAAGUACCAAUUCAUCAUAUUUUGGACAACUGUAUGCGUCUAAUUUAGUGGGAGAAAGGGCCUUUUCUGUUGCCAGUGCACAAAGCAGGCGCCAUGAAGGCCUGCUUGGAUGAGUGUUGUGCGGUAGAACUGGAAAACAGUCCCACAAGCAGCACAACUCCACAUUUUGUUCACUUUUCCCUUCCCGUAGCCGUCCCAAUACUUUUGUCCCUAUGGCACACCAGCGGCAGUAAAACCAGCGGAACAUCUGGGAGCAAAGGUUAAACGGUGAGAGGAGCAACGACUCACUGUCGAGGCACUGCGAGCAGACGGUCUGGGUGGCGCCGCACGGCCGGACCACGCCCUCCCCGGGGGGGCACUCCUUGCAGCACUCGCCGUCCUUGGUGUACUGGGCCGAGUCGCACGGAAGCUGCACCGCCCGCUCGCUCUUGGACGCCGCCGUCGUUAGCGUCACCUGGCGGCACGAGGGGGACACGCCCAUGUCAGCGAAUAGAAGAAGUAAAGAUGAAGUACAGUGAAAAAAGAUGGCUGUUGGCCGUACAUCAUCAUCAUCAUCAUCAUGUCAACUAUGCUGAAUGGCUCCCUUUUUAAUGAAGACAAGUUGCAAGAAGACGACAAGUCCACUGCAGCAUCACGCCACCCAGCCGGGACCUCCUGGACUGGACUCGACCAUGAAGACACAAGAGGAGGAGCAGGAGGAGGAGAGUGUCCUGUCCGAUGUGAGGCUUGGAGG